AUGUCUCCGCUCGCCGACCUUCUCAGCCUCGACCUGUCCGGCUGCACCGGCAAGAUCAUCGCCGAGUACAUAUGGGUCGGCGGCACAGGGAUGGACGUCAGGAGCAAAGCCAGGACGCUGCCCGGGCCCGUGGAGGACCCCAGCAAGCUUCCAAAAUGGAAUUUUGACGGCUCCAGCACCGGCCAAGCCACGGGUGACGACAGCGAAGUCAUCCUCUGCCCUCAAGCCAUCUUCAAGGACCCAUUCAGGAGGGGGAACAACAUCCUGGUCAUCUGUGACUGCUAUGCGCCUAACGGAGAGCCGAUUCCGAGCAACAAGCGGUACAACGCGGCGAGGAUAUUCGGCCAUCCUGAUGUCAAGGCUGAAGAACCAUGGUAUGGGAUUGAGCAAGAGUACACCCUUCUUCAGAAGGACACCAACUGGCCCAUUGGCUGGCCACUAGGGGGUUACCCUGGUCCUCAGGGACCUUACUACUGCGCCGCGGGUGCGGAGAAAUCUUACGGGCGCGACAUCGUCGACGCGCACUACAAGGCCUGCCUCUACGCCGGCAUCAACAUCGGCGGCAUCAAUGCAGAAGUCAUGCCAGGACAGUGGGAGUUCCAAGUCGGCCCUUCCGUCGGCAUCUCGGCCGGCGACGAGCUCUGGGCGGCUCGCUACAUCCUGGAGAGGAUCACUGAGAUUGCCGGUGUCGUCGUCUCCUUCGACCCCAAACCGAUCCCGGGAGAGUGGAAUGGUGCUGGUGCCCACACAAACUACAGCACCAAGUCGAUGAGGAGCGAGGGUGGGUACGAGGUGAUCAAGAAGGCGAUCCAGAAGCUGGAGGCGCGGCACAUGGAGCACAUCGCCGCCUACGGGGAGGGCAACGAGCGCCGGCUCACCGGCCGCCACGAGACCGCCGACAUCAACACCUUCGUAUGGGGCGUGGCGAACCGCGGCGCGUCGGUGCGGGUGGGCCGCGACACCGAGAAGGAAGGCAAGGGCUACUUCGAGGACCGGAGGCCGGCAUCCAACAUGGAUCCCUACGUCGUCACCUCCAUGAUCGCCGAGACCACCAUCCUCAGCAAGGCCGGUCUCUCCAAUGGCAAGUAG
This 1089-nucleotide ribosomal RNA is filed under the name Triticum aestivum (bread wheat). Its description in RNAcentral is "partial small subunit ribosomal RNA". Lineage: Eukaryota; Viridiplantae; Streptophyta; Magnoliopsida; Poales; Poaceae. The record is from RNAcentral.